GAUGAACGCUAGCGACAGGCUUAACACAUGCAAGUCGAGGGGCAGCAGGGGAGUAGCAAUACUCCCGCUGGCGACCGGCGCACGGGUGAGUAACACGUAUGCAACCUGCCCUUGUCAGGGGGAUAAGCGGAAGAAAUUCCGUCUAAUACCGCAUAAUGCUGCGGGGAGACAUCUCCCUGCAGCCAAAGAUUUAUCGGACAAGGAUGGGCAUGCGGCGCAUUAGCUGGUUGGCGGGGUAACGGCCCACCAAGGCGACGAUGCGUAGGGGUUCUGAGAGGAAGGUCCCCCACACUGGUACUGAGACACGGACCAGGCUCCUACGGGAGGCAGCAGUGAGGAAUAUUGGUCAAUGGCCGGGAGGCUGAACCAGCCAAGUCGCGUGAGGGAAGACGGUCCUAUGGAUUGUAAACCUCUUUUGUCAGGGAGCAAAAACUGCCACGCGUGGCAGGAUGAGAGUACCUGAAGAAAAAGCAUCGGCUAACUCCGUGCCAGCAGCCGCGGUAAUACGGAGGAUGCGAGCGUUAUCCGGAUUUAUUGGGUUUAAAGGGUGCGUAGGCGGACAGUUAAGUCAGCGGUAAAAUUGAGAGGCUCAACCUCUUCCCGCCGUUGAAACUGAUUGUCUUGAGUGGGCGAGAAGUAUGCGGAAUGCGUGGUGUAGCGGUGAAAUGCAUAGAUAUCACGCAGAACUCCGAUUGCGAAGGCAGCAUACCGGCGCCCAACUGACGCUGAAGCACGAAAGCGUGGGUAUCGAACAGGAUUAGAUACCCUGGUAGUCCACGCAGUAAACGAUGAAUACUAAUUGUUCGGGUCGAAUGAGAUCUGAGUGAUACAGCGAAAGCGUUAAGUAUUCCACCUGGGGAGUACGCCGGCAACGGUGAAACUCAAAGGAAUUGACGGGGGCCCGCACAAGCGGAGGAACAUGUGGUUUAAUUCGAUGAUACGCGAGGAACCUUACCCGGGCUCAAACGACACAGGAAUGAUCUGAGAAAUCAGGCAGUCCUCCGGGACCUGUGUCGAGGUGCUGCAUGGUUGUCGUCAGCUCGUGCCGUGAGGUGUCGGCUUAAGUGCCAUAACGAGCGCAACCCCCAUCGACAGUUGCCAGCAGGUGAAGCUGGGCACUCUGUCGAGACUGCCGGCGCAAGCUGUGAGGAAGGCGGGGAUGACGUCAAAUCAGCACGGCCCUUACGUCCGGGGCGACACACGUGUUACAAUGGCAGGUACAGCGGGAAGCCACCUGGCGACAGGGAGCGGAACCCGAAAGCCUGUCUCAGUUCGGAUUGGAGUCUGCAACUCGACUCCAUGAAGCUGGAUUCGCUAGUAAUCGCGCAUCAGCCACGGCGCGGUGAAUACGUUCCCGGGCCU
Molecule: ribosomal RNA, 1362 nt
Filed under: uncultured bacterium
Lineage: Bacteria
Description: 16S ribosomal RNA
Rfam family: Bacterial small subunit ribosomal RNA
Source: RNAcentral